CAUGCAAGUCGAACGGACCAGGGAGCUUCGGUUCCCUGGUUAGUGGCGCACGGGUGCGUAACGCGUAUGCAACCUACCUUCCACUGGGGGAUAGCCCCGGGAAACCGGGAUUAAUACCGCAUAAGACAAUGGCACGGCAUCGUGCAGUUGUUAAAGUUUCGGCGGUGGAAGAUGGGCAUGCGUGCCAUUAGCUUGUUGGCGGGGUAACGGCCCACCAAGGCGACGAUGGCUAGGGGUUCUGAGAGGAUGGUCCCCCACACUGGUACUGAGACACGGACCAGACUCCUACGGGAGGCAGCAGUAGGGAAUAUUGGGCAAUGGCCGCGAGGCUGACCCAGCCAUGCCGCGUGCAGGAAGAAGGCCUUCUGGGUUGUAAACUGCUUUUACCAGGGAAGAAAACGCCCAUGCGUGGGUAACUGACGGUACCUGGUGAAUAAGCACCGGCUAACUCCGUGCCAGCAGCCGCGGUAAUACGGAGGGUGCAAGCGUUGUCCGGAUUUAUUGGGUUUAAAGGGUGCGUAGGCGGCCCGUUAAGUCAGCGGUGAAAUCCCAGGGCUCAACCCUGGAACUGCCGUUGAUACUGGCGGGCUUGAGUUCGGUCGAGGCGGGCGGAACUGGCGGUGUAGCGGUGAAAUGCUUAGAUACCGCCAAGAACCCCGAUUGCGUAGGCAGCUCGCUUGGCCGAAACUGACGCUGAGGCACGAAAGCGUGGGGAGCGAACAGGAUUAGAUACCCUGGUAGUCCACGCCGUAAACGAUG
RNAcentral lists this ribosomal RNA (759 nucleotides) under uncultured Pontibacter sp. Its description in RNAcentral is "bacterial SSU rRNA". It matches the Rfam family "Bacterial small subunit ribosomal RNA", at positions 54 to 811 of the family's 1533-position model. The record is from RNAcentral. Lineage: Bacteria; Pseudomonadati; Bacteroidota; Cytophagia; Cytophagales; Hymenobacteraceae.